This 21-nucleotide non-coding RNA is filed under the name Caenorhabditis elegans. The record is from RNAcentral. Lineage: Eukaryota; Metazoa; Nematoda; Chromadorea; Rhabditida; Rhabditidae.
UUCUCUGAUAUCACGUGACUU